CACUCGGGGGGCUGGGGAGAUGGCUGCGAUCUUGGUUGCCACCCAAUGUGGAGUUUGUGAUCCAAGUCAAAAUUUUCAUGAAAUUUUUGUUCGCGACCCCAUUUGGUUAUGAACCAAGGCGUUCGCGAGCUGAGGUACAACCGUACCUCAAAGGGUUUCAGAAAGAGGAAGAUCAAGAUAUUUCCUCGUUGAUAUGAGUGUAGAAUUCAGGCUAGAUAAUUAGGAAAGUUACAGAUUCAGGCUAGAUAAUUAGGAAAAGCUUCCUCACUGUCAGAGCAAUACAACAGUAGAACCAGUUGCCUAAAAAGGUCAUGGGCUCUCACACAGUAGAGACAUUCAAGGUGAAACUGGACAGCCAUCUGAGUGGGAUGGUGUGACCUGGUGUCCUGCAUUGGUUAGUAGGAACCAAUGGCCUUCUUGACCCCUUCCAACUGUACUAUGAUUCUAUGAAAUACAUAGACUACAGAAUACAUGAAAUACAACUGACUACAACAGUCAAUUAAAUUACCUCAGGCACAGCAAUGAUAAGAUAAUUACAAUUUCUAAAAAUAUAAAAUAUUCAACAGUUUUUCUAAUGUCUGGUAAAUAACAGUAUCUUUGCCUGGCAUUAGAAAGAUAACAAAGAGGCUGCCAGGCAUACUUCUCUGGGGAGUAUAUUCCAUAAUUGGGAUGCAACCACUGAGAAGGCCCUCAUCUUGUUUGCCAGCCCUCUCACUUCUUUGGGGGACGGUUCCCUGAAAAGGUUGGCAUAGUGCUUUUUUGUGCUUGCUGUAAGGAGGCAGAACUGAACCAAAGUUCCAGUUUCCAUCUCGGACCUUGGAGCUGGGGGUGCAAACUAUUCCAUGGUCAUGAAACAAAGUCUAAGGGCCAAAGGGUCCUUUCCACCGUGCUAUAGAGGUCAAAUCCAGUACUUUGAACAGGGCAGCUGUUUUAAAACUGGAUAUAUUCAAGGAUAAGUGCAUUGUGGGUUGGGAUAAGUCUGGAGACAACAGUUCUCCAUCGUCCUAAUUCUGUAAAUCAGUGUCUGUGAAAGUAGGUCACCUGCCUAUCUGCUAAGGCUGAAUGGCAUGUGCAGAAAGGGAUAAAUGGGGAAUAUGGAUUGGGGGAUAUGAAAGAUGUUCAUGGACGACCACAGUCCUAGCUGAAGAUAAAUAGAUGAGGAAGUCCAUCACACUGGAAAGUGUCCUGACAGGGAACAUAAAGAAGGCCCCUGAUGAACCAAAGCAAGAGUCCAUCUAGUGCGUUGCUCUAGUUACACAAUGGGCAACCAGCUGCCUGAGAAACACAUCAGGAGGCAACAGUGCAAGCACCUCAUGUCUCCCAGCAACUAGUACACCUAGGCAUACUGCCUCUGAUAUGAAGGCAGCCUGCAGCCAUCUGGAAGAGUAGCCAUGGAUCACUUGGUCCUCCAUGAAUGUGCACAAUCCCCUUUCCAAAGCCAUCCCAACUGGUGGCCAUAACCACUCGUACGUUUUGUACUCCUUCCAUAGCUUAAGUGUGUGGUGUGUGAAGCACUUUCUUUUAUCUGUCCUCAAUCUCCCUCCAUUCAGCUUCAUGGGAUGACCCCUGGUUCUAGUACCUAGGGACAAUCCUGGUUUCAGAGCAAGCUGCUCUUCAGCUGGAUGGAGACAAACCGUGAUCUCAUUUUAAGGCUGUGCAGCUACAGAAGGUAAACAAAGGAGACAGCAUCUGCUUUAUUGAGGCCCAAGGACUCUCUAGGGCCGGCCCUGAAAUCUGUUCACAGCAACACAAUCUUUCACAGCUCCCUUGCCAUUCUGUUCUUGCCUCCUUCUAAUACAUCGAGGCUCACUGAUCACAUGGAUAACCUUGGUUAAAUGCAACACUGAAAUAGUUUCUUGGGUCAUUACAACAGCCUCCAACCCUCCUGCUGUUUAAUAUAUUGUAAACAACUAUUUGGUAUGUUAAAAGUUUUGUAACUGGGACACCAUUGGCCAGAAAUGACUAAAGGUAUUUGCAUAAGCAGCAUUGCUCUGUAUCUCAUUGAAUGAACUUUCUCCCCAUUCCAUCCAAAGAUGAGUUCACUGUAGCUUUGAAGUUUGCAUAUUUUGGUUGUGAAUGGAAAUUGGUCCAAUAAAAGUGAUUGCCUUGCUCAUUUUGAGUCACUCACAUAAAUGAAAUGAGUCCAUUGAGAUUGGAAGGACCCUGCCUGUUGACUUUAUACACCUGAGGAUGUCUGCCUGGGUGCCUACCAGCAUUAGCAAGGCAGAAACUAAAGUGAGUCGCUUUCCUUUGUGGGAGGAAGAGUUUAGCCAUGUAAACAAGCUCAGGGAGUUGGUUUUCCCAUACCAAUCUGACACCACUCCCUAAAUGUGAGUCUACAACUCCUGUUACCCCAGCUAAUGGAAUUUACUGUAUUGCAGAUAAGAUAGCACAUCUCCACAAAUGCUCAUCCACUGUUGCUUAUCAAAGGAUAUGGUCAUGGAGAGGCUCCUUGCACUGAUCUUGAAGAAUAUCAUUUGAAAACAAAGGAAAUCAGCAUCUUGUAGCUACAAAGAUAAGUACCCAUAGGUAUGUUGUUUUCAAAGCCAAAAAGCAACCUAUAUGCAUUUCCAGCCAUAACCUACCAGGGCAGCAUUGAGUUAGCCUCAUCCCAUAUGGCUGGGCUCUUUGAAUGCUGUAGGUUCUCUCUCUUUGCUCUUGGGCUUCAGUUUACAGCUUUUUGCAUGUAGUCAAGGAAAACCUAUGAGGCAAAGCAACCAUAGCACAAAGCAAGCUGGACCUAGAGUCUGUGGAAGAAGGCAGAAGGGGAAUCACCUGAGACCUGUUGCUUCAUGCAGUACCUCUGCAUUGUGUCUGGCUGAGAAACAGAGGUGGCUUUGCGGGAGGGAGCAGGGCAGCAUCCCCAUUGAAGCAGAAUUUGGGCAAGGAAUGCUCCAUAUGGAAGAUGGCCAACCAACUUCCUGAGUUCAGAAAACUGUGACAAUGGAUGAAGAUUGGUCCUCUCCCCUUAUAUCCUAUUAUCCACCAAAUCCUUGCUCAGAAUGAGCAAGUACGUGCCAUCACUCCUUCUGCCAACUCUGAGUGGGGGAGAGAGAGAGCUGAAGGUGACUCUGCCAUCAUUUGAUAUAGACUUCAACUGACUUCUCCAGUGGGUCAAUAGCCCUUUGCCAAAGGUUUCCCACCAGGAAUUAUGGCAACUGCAGCCUCCUAUAACAUGCAAUUUCUCUUUGGCCAGGGAUAUGCACUGCUGCCUUCUCCCUUACUGGUGCUCAUGAGUCCCUACCUGGAACAGAAAAAAGGUAUGUUAAAAAUUUUCUGGGUCACACCCAAGAACAAUUGUUUGGCAUGGAUGUGCAGAAGCCUUAUGGUCCCCUCUGGCAUAGUCACAAAGAGGAGUUUGGAAACUUUUGUUUCUGCUUCUGUUAGCAAUGGUUUCUUGUUAUGUCUGAUUCUGGAGAAACUAUGAUUCUGGGCAAGGGUAGGGUACGUUGUAUGGCCUGGAGGCUGGAUUUCCCUCCCGGUUCCCAUUCCUUCCAUGAUCCCAAUUAUAUAAGAAGAUAGGCCCCACCCAUGAUAUACAGGGUGGAGCUCCACUUGCGAUUUCAGGGUCUCUUGACAUCAUUGUGCCCUUAGCCAAAGUAUUGGAUACUCCAGGUUUCCAGGGAAACAAGACAACUUGAAACAAUGGUUUAUAAUUCCAUGCUUCUUUGUUAAACCAUGGUUAAUAAUAACCACAGUUUGGACCAACAACGUUACUACAAUUGGUUGCUGAUGAAAUUAAGCUUCCAGUCCGCUCUUUGCCGGAGUGCUACAAAGACCAAGAAAUGGGGAGCACGUGCGCCUGAAGUUCACAAGAUCUGGUUGCUGAGCGCAACGGUGCCUCAGUAUUCUCCCCUGGCACAGCAUCUCCUGACACACUUUUCUUCCAAAAUGGAGACAAAGCUUCUCUAUAAGCUCAUGGGUAUUUUCCUUUAAAUGUAGUGAUGAGCAUUAUUGCAGCACACACUUGGCUCAAACUUAAAUUAUGGUCUGCUACAAUCCAGUAAAGUCCAAGUCUUUAAAUGUAUGCAGUACAGAAGAAAGAUAAGCCUCUCUCAGGCUAUCUUUGCAUUUAUUCAUGUAAAAAGCCUGCUUCGUAAAACAGGGAAACUUAGUGGCAAUCCUCUUUGUGAGGCCCAAACUGCACACUACAUGGGAAUAUUGCAAAGGCUGCCCAGUUGCCCAGUUUGAAUUUUAAAAGCUGCUUUCCAUAGGCAGGAUUACAAUUUAUAGUUGCUGAGGCCACUGCAUUUAUAUCCUGCAUUUUUUUCCUCUUUUGAGGAAUCCACGGUAGCACAUCCCAUUACAGCAGCUGCCUGGCCAUGUGAGAACAAAACACUGGACAGGUUCUUCUUAUCUAUACCUUCAUUCAUCUAAUUUCUAAGCUAUUAUUAUUCUUACCAGUAUUAUUAAUUUUAUUUCUGUACCACCCAGCAGCUGAAGUUCUCUGGACAGUUUACAACACCAAAUAUUUUUUUUAAAAAAAAUCUAAAAUACAGAUAGCACUAAAAUUAUAAAAAAUGCAGUACAAAAUUUUAAAACCAAAUUAAAAAAAAACACAAGACAUGUUAACCAAAUUAAAUCAGAAUGGACAUAUGCCCCCAAUAUUAUAUUGAAGGAAAUGAAAUGCCCUGACCUCAUGGUCGGUUUCUGCUCCUCAGCAACAUGUGGUCAGCUUGCUUUUGCUGCUCCAAAAACAACCUCCCAUCCCUCUGCAUUCACUCCACACAUUCAGAGCAUUUGAGUCCUCUUUAAACAGUCAUUAAGUCUCCAAAGAAUCUUGGGGGCCGUAGUUUCUCAAGGGUUCUGAGUAUCAUUAGUGCACACCUAUUCCUCACACGAAGAGGUGUAGUUUCCAGAGUCUAUGGGGAAGAGGGAUUGACUGAUAAGCCAUUCUGAGAAUUGUAGCUCUGUGAGAAGAAUAGGUGUUUUCUAGCAACUCUAAGCCCCAGAAUUAUUUGGGAGAAAAAAAUAGCUAAAGUGGAAUAAAGGUAUCGUAACUGGAGUACCUUCACUGGAAUCAAUGGGGAAAAUUGGCCAUAACUUCUGAUAGCCUUAAGGUCCUCUUCCUUCAGGCAGGCUACUUUACGCAUGAUUCAGCUUGGAUCCAAUGCAAGCACAAUAAAAAGUUAUUGGUUACUCUGAGAAACUGGAGCCCCUAAUCUAUGGCCGCUGGACUCGUGGAGGCUCUCCCACACAUGCGCACGCGCAUAAUUGCAGAGGCCACAGGAUAUGAAAGGCAACCAAAGAGUGCUUGUCAGUCCUGACCGCUGCUCUUGGGGGAAUGUCGCUGCAUAUGUUUCGAUAAGUGUGGGGGGUGAGUGCCUGUUUGCUUCCCCCCCCACACACCCCCAUCCACUUCCCCUUGUAUGGCAUGUUUUUAGAUAGCGAGCCUGUGGACAGGAACUGCCUUAUUAAUUCCAUGUAAGCCACCCUGGAAUCUUUUUGGCUGGAGACUGGGGUAUGAAUGCAAUAAUAAUUUUAAAAAUCUUUCAUUCACAGUAAAUAAGAAAAGAAAUAACUUCUAGUAGCUGUCAUUGUUUCACCUCAAAGACAGAUACCCUCAUCUUGUAUUCAUUACUCAACAGAAAUUCAAACACAGUGACAAAGCUCAUUUUUAUUGUGUAAUCUUGGAGAUAGUGUGGCUUUGAUGGGGUGUGGCUUUGAGAGCUGGCUGUGUCUCUCAUGAAGGACACCCCACUUCUAAAUUGAUCCCUACACCACUGCUUGGAAACAUACAGACAGCCACUGUAAGUGGGCCAGAGUUGGUGUAAUGAGUUGGAACCCUCUGGUCCCUGUUAUUAAUCCGGCUGCCACAUUUUGCACAAGCUGCAGCUUCUGCGCAUUCUUCAAGGGCAGCCCCAGAUUGAGUGCAUUGCAGUGAUCUAGUUUAGAGAUUACCAUAGUGUAAAUGACUGAAAACGGGGUAUCCCUGUCCAUGUUGGGGCACAGCUGUGUCACCAGCUGAAGGCAGAAAAAGCACUCCUUGACACUGAGACCACAUGGCUUUCAAGUGGAAAAACAGAUGGACCAAGGAGCACCCCCAAGCUCCGAGUCUGCUUCCUCGAGCAAAGUGCAGCCCCACCCAGAACAGGGUGAACACAGGCCAACUGCAGUCUUGCCUGGAUGGAGCUUCUGUUGGCUAGCCUUCCUCCAGUCCCCUGUUGCGGCCACCGCUGGAUUGGCACAUCCACAGCCUCACCUGCAGAAAAUGAACAGGAGAGAGAGAGCUGUGCAUUAUCAGCAUACUGAUGACAACAUACCCCAAAACUCCAACUGAAGCCCAUAUUGGAGAAGCCAAGAGGUUGUCCUAGAGCAAGGUGUUUAGGGCAACAUAUAUAAUAAUAAGAACUCCAAGUUUGAUUUUAAAAUGCAACUUUAAAAUGCAACUUGAUUUUAAAAUGCAGCUUUGUAUCAUUACAAACAAAACGAGCAGCAGUUUAACAAUAGUCUGGGAGAAAAUAAAGGACUUCAUUUGGUGCCUAAAGACUGAGAAAGAGAGCAUUCUGCAAUUGGAGGUGGGGGGGGGGGGACAACAAAAAGGACUAGCCACAAAUAGCCACCCACCCAAUCUCCGUAUAUGGGGUACUUCAAGGAGGAUGUCAGGCCGUGAUCUCAGGGCAUAGGUGGAGCCAUAUGGGCAAAGGUGUGCCUCCAAGAUAAUGAGGGGACAAGUGCCACAUCCUCCCUAGCCGUCUCUUUGGCUCCUGGGAAGAACUCCUCCUUAGACAAACAAGUGACAUUCAGUGCACAUUUGUACCACCAGGUGUGCUUAAAAAUUAACUGUGGGCUCAGCAUCAAAGGUAGUCUGGUUGUGCCACUGCCAAGGGUCCACACCCAGCAGGGUCCCACUGGCAAGAGCCCUCUAGAACUGCUUCCCGGAGUCAGCCCUGUGGCCCUUUCGCUUCCCAGCCUUUUAGUCUGGCCCAGACAACAGUAGCAUGGCAAGAAGCAGCUGUGGACACCCAGGCCGGCUUGCUCAGGGGCUAUCUGCCUGUCAGAGCAAGCACAGGGCAGCCAUGAUGAGCAACAAGGGUGGGAGGAAGAGCAGCUGGUGGCAGUGUAGGUGAGAAGGACGAGGCAGUGAGGGGCCCAGUGGGGGUGUGGAAAGCCCUAAUGGUGUCAAGGAAAGAGGAUCAACAGGACCAAAUGGCUCAUCUCUAUGGUUUAGGAGGACCGAGUGUACCAGAUGAUUGAGAGAAUUCUGUGAUGAAGCCCGAUGUGUUUCAUUUUCACCUCAUCAAAAUGGUCUAAUUAUGAAAGAUUAAGUGUCAAUUACUCCCUAAGAGGCUGUGCUCACACUUCAGCUAAGCAUGGGUGGUGGAUCCACUCUAGCGUGAGCCAGAAGCAUAAAAGACUUCACUAACAGAAUGCCUGUUCUGUCUGGCCAUCAGGGAGAAGCUAACUAUAGAGGAGGCACCAUAAACUGUGAAAUGAGAACUGCUCCGUUCCCUAUGAUAAGAGGAAGCUGGCAUUGAACCUAUUACUCAGAUUAUGGUGAAUCUGAAUUGCUUUCCCCUUGAGCUGCUACAGAGAUAGAUCAGUCGGAUUAAAUCCCUCUCUCUUAUGUAAAACAACUUAACUGGAAUAGAUAAAAAUGUGAAGGGUUUUUUUUAAAAAAGACUUGUAUGUUUCCUUGAGUCUGGAUAAUAAUAAGUUCUUGACUUACAAAUGUCUCCUUGAUUGUUUAAUGAAUUAUUUUCUGUCUCUCAGGCUGUUACUGAAUGGAAUGUACUAAUAAAACAUUCUUGAAAAAUGGAAUACAUGUAUUACCUGAAAUAAUUCUGGUAGAGUGAUUUACUUGCAUAAUAAAUGUACAGUAUCAUUUUCUCUCUGGCAUCUGGUGAGCAAUUGAUUACUAUGCCCAACGUAUACACUAUUAUUUUCUUUAGACCUCAGGAUGCUAAACAUUGUGGUCCACUGUCUGCAUGUUAUUGCCUGUACAAUUAUACACCUAAAAUUACUUUCGGGCAAUAGUAGAAAUAAUAAGGGAAAAUUACUUUUAUGAUUAGAAAGCACAAGAGAUGGAGGCCUUAACCCUAAGACGACCGCAAAGAUCACAUGGGAGCAGGCUUCUUUGUGUGAGCGCGUGCAGUUUUAAGGGUGUGUACAUUGUGAUGGCUAGCAUCUACUUCAGGGUGUGGAACUUCUGUUGCUUCAGAUGUUGGUGUACUGCGGCUCCAAUAAGCCCAGGCCAUAGGCUAUCUUGGCUGUGACAAAGGGGAGCUGGAAUCCAACAACAUCUGGCAGGUCACAGGUUCCCCACUGCUGAUUUUCAGACAGGGAUUUCCAGAUGUUGUGGCCUAUCACCUCCUGGCGUGUACAAGCAACUUUUUAAAGGGUCAGGUAGGGAGAAUGUUUGGGUUAGGGUUAGAGAAAGCCGGAGAGGUCUGAAUGGAACAAUUCCACUACAGCAAUAGGAGAACUGUGGAGGGUCUAGGGCAGUGGUGUACGGGGCAAUGUGGGGAGGAGUGCAGCUCAGGGACAUUUUGCAAGAGCAUGAGGGCAAUUUAUGGUUCUCCUUGCUCUACGAAAUGCACCAGGAGAUUGCAUGUUUUGUGGCACAUCCACAUGUAAGGCAGAGGUGUGGAACUUUGGAGAAAACUUUGGGAGACCAGGGCCACCAGGGAGUGAAUAAAGAAGAGGAGCCUGAGCUAGUACACAUGCAGGAGGAGAGGUAAAGAAGUGUCAUCCACUGCCACAUAUGUGGGAAGGUAAGAAGCUCAGGUCGCCGCCAUGUACGUGCAGGCAGCAAGGAGGAACUGUCGUGCUGGCAGCCACAACAGUGAUGAAACCCAGGGGCAGGAGGGAUGAAAACUAGCAGUCCUCCAGAUCUCCAACCUCAAGGGAGGGCUGUCCCCAAGUGGGCUACAUUUCCACAGUGAGUGGGGCCAAACACAAAGGAAUGGGGCCAAACCACCAAAAAUGCCAGCCUAUGAUCCCUGAAACUCUUACUGCCAACAAUUAAGCUUUGGGAGAGGCAUUUCCCCCUUUUAGAAUGGGGAAAAUCUGCAGAAAGGGCAGGAAGCCACCAAACCAAAGGUGGUGUGAAGAAAGGGAGUAGAGUUAGGGGAAGGGAGUGUGGCCCUUUGAAGUACGCCCGAGGGCUACACUGAUCCCUUGGGAAAGCUGGAUCCAGCCCUGGGGCCUGAGGUUUCUCACCUUCAAUGGAAAAAGUCAUUCAUUAAUUAAGCAGAGGCUGACUAUUUCUUUCCUAUUCAUUGCUGGGAUUCCUACUUCAGCAAUUUAUGGCAUGAUACUUCUUUGCAAGAUUGCUGGCAUUUUAAAUUAAAAACAAAUGUUGUGCUCCAGCUGGCUGAGGAUCUUUGUUAAGCUCGGCAUUUUACAAGCUGACCCUGUGCAAUGAGAGUAAGCUGUAGGUUCAGUGGAGCUAAAUCCCAGGUUAUUGUGCACAGGAGUACAGGCACACGGACCCUAAUACAUUGGGGUUUAGGGGAUGCAUUGCUGCUCUUCACUGGUGGUACUGGUAGUGGUGUGGGUUGAUAGAGUCAAGAGCGACUCCUGCAGUUGACCGCUCCACCACUGGUUUAAGGGAGAUGCUCUCUAUUAGGGACCAUACCCUAAUAUUCUAGACAGUCUACAUAGAUCAAUGUAGAGCUCAUAAAAAGAUCAGCAAAGGGUUCCUGAAAUAAAAAAAAUGGUGGGAAGAAACAUUUAGAAAGUGGAUUCCCAUUAAAACAUUAUCACUGAUAACUGGAGACAUAAACUAUAAUUGUCCCCAUUCCACAUGGCUGUUUUCAAAAGAGAAACCUGCUAUGGUCUAGCUUGUUUUUGUUUCCUUAGCAUCAUAUCUAGAUGGCAUUGGCAGUGUAGAAUGUCCAUCAGUGGCCACAUCAUUGUCUGUAGUCUUUGCUAUAUGAAUUAACUCCUUUCAAACUGCAAAUCGAUGCAGACAGUGUUACCAGUUGGCUCACUGUUGCUUUAGUUAGAGAGAUGCACAUUCAUUUCAUUCAUACAGGUGUGUGAAUUUCUGGUGCAUCUUUGCCAACAGACAAUGGUCCAACAAAAGGAAACAUCUUGACUGCUCUCCGCCACCCCACUUCUUUUGGCAGGGUUUAGACAUAGACUUACUGCCCAUUGCUCAUUUCUUCAGGCAAUUCUCCUCCCUGUCAACAUUCAUUAUCUUUGGAUGGUUGAAUCUUAGCCAAUUCCUUCCCAUUUACUUCUCUGGAUCCAUGGGAAAUCAAAGAGGCUGCUAAAUCCAGGUGUGAUUUACCUUGUGUUUCAUCUGCCUAUUUAUACGUCAUUUCCUACAGCCUUGCUAUCUCCACUGGUAUCCAUAUAAGCCUCUGAAUGAAAUGGAGUCCCACAGAGUUCUGGUGAGAUUGGGAAGUGAUCUCUAGAACUAAACAACUUUGAAGAGAGGAAAAAUAAUCCUCCGUCAGAUCUUUACAUGUAAAAGUCCAUUCUGAACUUGAGAUUUCAACAUUUAAAUGUGGAUUAUAUGUUUAGCUCCUGUGAUAAUUUUCAUCCUCUGGUGUGUGCUGUUCGAACGCCUAAGACCUCUUUUCUGUCAUCUUCUUAUUAACCAGGCAGAAUCUGAAAACUCACUAGAAGCCAAAAAUAAAAUAACAUCCUACAGCAUCCACACUGCCUGUCUUCUGAUUGCUGAGCCUGAUUUUUUGCAAAUGCAGUUUUUUUUUUUUUUUGCAAGAGUUGGGUUUAGAGUUCCCUCUUGGAUUUAUUUCACAUACUCAGCUCUUCCUCUCAGGGGUUCAGAGGGCCUUAUGUAUGGGUUCUGGGAGGUCCCUCAUCCAAGCCAAUAUAUAGGAGCAGAGCUGUUUUGCUUCUCAGCUAGUUAUGCCCUUCAAUGUCUGGUUUAUUCUGCAGUGGGAAGACAGUGAUGAUCUUAUUCAAAGACCUCAAUGUUGUGCUUUGAAGUGUUAAAAAUAUACCGUAUUGAUGGUUGAACACUGGUGCAUCACCAUCAUGGCUUAGUGACCACAGAUUCCGAUCUCCGGUGGUUCUUUAUUCCACUGUAGCCUUCCUAUAUUCUGAUCUGCCGAUGUAAUUCUAAAGUAGCGAGACAGCCUGCCAAGAGAUUCUCUCAAACUGCUUUGGGUGUCCUGCCCUUCUGUCUCACUCCACUCAGCAGGCAGGAACUUGCCUUACAGCAGAUCAGGCCAUGGAUGCAUCUUGCUCCCUUUUGUUCCAGACAGGAGCCUUUUUUGGAGAUGCCAGGGGUUGUCUUGCUACAUUUUGGAUGCAAAACCUCUGUACUUCCAUUGGUCUACUGUUAGCAUCAGGAUGGCAGAAGACACAGAUGCAGUACACUCCUUGGUACCGUGGAGUGUUUAAAAACAGACGUGACUUUCAGGUUUCUCAUACCUGUCUGAAAUCAAGUUAACAAACAUUCAAAUUCACCCACAGAAUGAAGAUGUGAAUAGAGUUGCUCGACACCUUAUUAUUCAUCUGUAAAACCAGAAUCUUUAGCCCUAUUCGGACACCUUUAAUGCAUUAAAUCUAACGACAUACUAUCCAUCAGUGGAUAUCUGAUGGUGUAUGGGACUUGGACCUUUUCUCUUCCCUUGCAGCUCUCUCUCUUGACUAAAGGUCUCCCAGCCUUCUGGAGCAGAUUUUGAGUGGGCGCAUAAAGUCCAUGCACUGGGCAUCCCUUUGUGAAAUGGAGAGGCAUGUGAAUGGAGUCUGUGCACAAUGGAAUGAUUGCUGCACGGAGGCUGUGACCCCAGCUCUGCACACGGUCUAGACGCAUGUCUGCAUAGGGCUUUGGCGCUCCAGGAACUCGGCUGGUGCAGUGUGUUAGCAGAUGCCUUCUUUCCCUGGGACUUCCCUGCUGCCUGCUUAGAGCAGCCCUGCCUCUCCAGGCUUCAUUGCAACCGGACCUGCUCUCCUCGCUGCUUUCAUUGUCUUUCUGUGUAGCACACUUGCCUGUGUGUUUUCCAAAUCCCUUUUAGCCCUGCAUGUCUAUAAUUUAAAUUCAAGGUGCUCCACAGGCGGUAGGGAUAUUUGAAGUACGAGAAGAAAGCUGGAUGAGUCACUGAACUAUAAGGUGAAAUAGCAAAUCUGCUCUCAGUUGUUUUGUGCAGCGGUACCUCGCAAAUUGUUGUAGCACACUGACAGUGUGGCUGUCAGCACACUUAUUAGGGAGUUAGUCCCACUGAGUUCAGCAGGACUUAUUUCUGAGUAAACAUGUUCACGACUGCACUGUUAAUCCCCUGAAAUUAGGUGUCUAAAUGAUACCUCUAGCUUUUUCCUACUUCUACCUUGUGCUCCCGCCCACUAAUGCUAAUAUUUAGACUUUAGACUGGGUCUCUGGAAAGAGCUUGGAUUCUCCAUCCAGGCUGGCAGAGAAGGAAUGAUUGUAUUCUCUGUAUGCCCACAUCUUGAGAAAGCAGGUAGUAAGUCUGGAGUGGAUGACAGACUACCCAGUGCCACUGCAUAACCCAGUGGAAUAAAGAGACAAAGUCUCAGGCUCUUGAACAAAUCUAUACAGUUUUAUUCCAAACAGCAGCUCCACAAGUUUCAGCCUUCAGUAGGGGCCUUCUUCGGGAGCAAGAUUAGAGAAAAAGGGGUGGGAAACGCUUAAACAUAAUCUACAUUACAAUACAUUGAAGAAUGAAAUAUGUAUUUUAAAAACCUGGCAAUGGUGCUAAUUAUUGCACUGCAAAAUUACCUGUGAUUACUUACUUUUAAUAUACCUAAUUGCCUGCAAUGAUCUUUGAAAAAAGAUAACCUCCAAGAUAAAUCCUGUUAUUAGUGAUGAACUCUGAUAUGAAAUGGGUUUUUUAUAUACAUUUUAAACAAAAACACAUUUUUUAGUUUCUAAAAUAGUUUCUAAUUAGACUCAGCCUCUCCCAUAACUGGACACAAAACAUAUUCCAAAGGGUACAUUGUGGAAGAGGUGGAAAUUGCAGACUAACCAAUCCUCUGAUGGGUUCAUAACAAAUAUAAGAGGAGAAACACUGGACUGAGUUUCCUCUCUCACCCAGGAGGUCAUCAAAAUGCUGGGGUCCUUCAUCAGCCCAAGGAUCAACCAACAGGGAAAUGGAGGCAGCAAGGGAAUGUCUAUCUAUCUGAAAGUAUAAAUUGCCUUUUGUCAGUUGGAUCCCACGAUGGUGCACACAAUAUCAAAACCGGACAACCAAUCUAAUAAAUAAGUCAUACAAGCACUGUUUCAAAAGCAAAGCAGCCAAUAACAACUUUUCAACAGCAGUCAAUUCAAUUUAACACUUCCUUUUUAAAUAUUAAAAUUCUAAAAUAGUGAGAUGUCAAAAGAUUAAAAUGCAUGGGCCAAAAGAAACAUUUUAACUUGGUACUGAAAAGAAAAUACAGUUGAUGCCAAAUGAUUCCCCUCUGGAGGGCUGUGGAAGGUAAAGCCCCAUGAAGGGCACAGCUCCUUUAUAGGGCAGUACCUUCUGGUGGGAUGAUUUUGGUGGGAUCUCAUUUGAGCUGGGCCUCUUGGCACCUGCAGCUGCCACAGAGGGAUGCCUGGUGGGCACAGCUGCUCCUACUCCUGGGCCUGACCUGGCGACCAGGCUCCUGGUGUUUUCAUUGAGCAGGUGCUCUGUGCCUGUGGAGCUCUCUUCUGCAGGAAGGGAUCUUUGGAUGAAGUCUCCCCUGUCUGGCAUACCCUCCCAGCUGGUCCUUGUUUCGACCACUGUUUGCUGCUUUGCAGGUGCUCCAGCAGCUGUGGAGAUCUUGGUAUGCAGCUUCUUGGACAGGCAAGGACUCCGUGCCUGCUGCCGAGGAUGGGAAGUUUUGUGCUGCGGGCCUCUGAGUUGCUGUAGGGCUGGAUCAGUUUCAGCAAGGUACAAGAGGACCCCGGCGGGUGAUGAUGCUCGCUCUGAUUGAGGGAGAGGACAGCAGUUGCUCUGGAUGGUCCUUGACAGCCUAACUGGCUCAGACCUGGAGAAGAGUCAUGGGAACGUGGCACAUGAUGGCUCUGUCUCUGUGAGGACAGGAGUGGGUAAGCAGUUGGGGUUAUUUCUCCCAACUUAAACUGCCGUUGCAUCGCUACUUUGGAUGUAUGCUCCAUCUAACAGAGGCAAAACCACCGAAUCAACAAAUAAAAUUUUAGUUACAUUUUUAAACAUUACAAAGAUGUUACCUCCACGUACCCCUGGCCAAGUUUCUGUCUUCUGUACAGAAAGGUUACUGAUUUUUGAAGAGAGUACUGUCAAAUUUUGUGGCUAGCUAAAGUUUUGUUUAUCAGCAACUAGGAAGCAAUAAUAUGGACACAGCUGCAAAGACAAGAAUGCCAAGGCUAAACACGGCAUACCUGUUGUCCAAGAAAUACAGAACUAUCUUUUAUGCAACCCAAAUAACUGCUUCCAAAGUCAUUUUUCCAGGUCCACAGCUUCAGGAAUGAUCAGUUGGUAGUCAUAGCCAGCAUAAUACCACAGGAUAAUGGCUCUCGCAGAAGCUGUGGCCAGUUACAUAAGGGCUGCUGUGCAGGCCUGGCUGGUCAAAGCUCACAGAACCCACCCAAGAAACUGAGAACAAGAAGAAAAAAGCCCUGAACUAUAACACCAGUCCACAUAUUUACUCCACCAAAGCUAAACAAAAUAGCCAGCCGAGGUUGCAAUCCUAUGCAGGGGGGAUACUUCUGAAUAGGCCUAGGUAGGGUUUCUCCUAUAGAAUGAGAGAAGUGGUUGGGUAAGGACAGAAAACGGGUGAGGGUGAGGAGGAAGAAGUGGUAGCUGUAGGAAGGGGUGAGGAGCAGAGAAAGAGCAAGGCUAGAAGCUGGGAGUGGCGGGAGAAAACAAGGCAAAGAGGGUAGGUGAAAGACAAAUAGAAGGAGGGCCUUUUCUGUGGCUGUGCCUCACCUCCGGAUGGGCUCCCCAAGGAAGUCUGCCUGGCUCCUUCAUUACUAGCGUGUUGGCACCAAGCAAAGACUGUUUUAUUUUCCAGGCAUUUUUACAUUUUUGGUGAAUUUUAAAGUGUUGUUUUAAGCUGCUAUACCUUGUCCAUAUUUUUGUAUUGUAGUAUUUUACGGAGCUAUUUAUUUUAAUGUUGGUUUUAAUGGAAAUAUACACCACCCAGAGAGCCCUACCAGGGCUAUAGCCACAAUCUAUAAAUUUAAUAAUACAUAAAAUAAAUAAAAGCAAUGCGCAGUGCUAUUUUCUCCUCAUUGUCUCCUUGCCUUUGGCUUUACAUCUUGAAUACAGAUGAGGUGUUCAUUUGGCAUGAUGCUUCACCCCCGGAGGCCAUGAGUCUGUGGCUGCAGCCCCCAAGGUCAGGUCAAGGCAUUCUGACGCCUGAGAUGGAGUGGCAAAUGCCCCUGUCCCUGCCUCGCUCCUGCCCCUGCCACCGGCCAUCAAGUUGCACAGAAACAGAGUGAGUCAGAAGGGGCCUCCUGGGCCAUCUAGUCUGAGCCCUGGCUCCAGCCGGCCCUGCUCACAGCAUGCCCACCAUGUGCAUGCCCAGCCGGUCCUUGAACACCCUCACCGCUGGGGCCUCAACCACCUCCCAUGGAAGCCCAUUCCAUGCCUAGGCGUCCUAACCGUCAGGAAGUACUUCCUGGCAUCCACCCUAAAUCUUGGUCCCCUGAGCUUUGCAAUGGUUCCCAAGGCCAGUCAAAGCAUUCUGGCACUUGAGGCUGACAAUCCCGCAAGAGCUUCUUCCCCUCACUGACAGUAACACACAGCCAGAAUAAAUCAACUGUGGAAUAAUUUGCAGGCCAUUCAUGACCCUCAAUAUCCGGUGGCUGCCUAAUUCUGACUAAUUGCAGCCAUCUCUGAAUGCUCUACCUCUUGACACAUCCGGAUUCAGACAGCCUGCACCCAAGUCCCUGCUGAGAUCCCAGAUCCCUGGUUCUGUCUGAAGAGCUGGUGACCCUGUUUAGGCCCUGGUGCUCCCUCGGAAACUGGUGCUCGUGCACUGGUGGUGCCAGCACCACUAAACCGACUAAGGGCUCGGCGUCGGCUUGUGCCACUCUGGAAGGGGUGGGGAUCCUGCCUCCCUUGACCUGCAGAACCAAGUCUAGAUGGGAGAGUGUUGCUGAUUUGCUUUGGCAGUUCGUCCCCGCUACCUCAUCCUGUUUUGGCUCUCUUAAUAAAUUGCCUAAAUAUCUAUGCAUAUGUAACUAAGCAUUUGUUAUUGUUUUGGUGCACAAAGUUAAAUGUCUAUUCCCCCACUUGUGCCCAGAGGGGAAAAAUCAAUUCUGGUGUAAUUAGAAUUCAAACCACUGGUGUAGUUUUACAAAGGUCAUUUUAGACUGGAGAGAGAUUGAGAGUGUUGUUGUUAAUCGAACAGAGGAUAUUUAGGCAGACUCUUCAACAAUAAAUGGUGAGAGCAAACAACAUUAGGUCUGCUAUCUCUGCAGCCACGCAGAUCCACCAUAAAAAAACAACAACAAGCGCCCCGUUACAACUUUGGUGGAACAGUCUGUCUUUUCCACCAUACUAGCAAGUAGAGUUACAUCAGCUGCACUGCUUUCAUUCCAUACAGACACAUCCAGGCUGCAAAAGUCAUACAACUUGAGUUCCAAAUAUAUUGGAAAUGGCUUGGUAAAGUCAAAAAGGCCUUGAUUCUGGAAGUUCCCUUCUCUGAUCACAGGGUGCCUUGCCUAUCCAGCAUUCAAGAUCUUCUCCAGCUUUCCCCAGUCUUCCAGCACUCAUGUCCCUGCUUGCAUUCUCUUGGCAACAGAAGUUUGCAGUUUUCCUUUGCUAAUGUUCACUAUAACCUACUUUCUCUUAUCAUUCCAAGUUUUCUCUCCCUCCUCUGAACUUGCUUUGUUUGUUUGUGAUGGGCUUAUCCCUGGCCUUCUAGAAAACCUUUGCACAAGACAGCUUACAGUAUAAAAGAAACAAACAAACAAUCAAUGACAUCAAUACCAACCUCCAUAGCAACAAAUACCAGUUUUAUCUUCCUCCGCACUCCCCAGCAUCUGUUUGAAGCUGCCUGCUUCCUAUAUUAGUCUUGUAAUUCCUCAGAUGCCAGUAUUCUUAGAGCCCUCUUUGAACAUACAAGAGCUGAAAGCAGGCCACACCCCAAUAUCCUCUGCCUUUUUAUUGCUUGGCAUGAGCUCCUGGUCAGACUUCUAGAUGAUAGGGAUGAAGAUCUGAAGAGGGUUUCUGCUCUGAGGAAUGCAUACAGAAGCCUGCCUUAUAGGGCUCCUGCCUGCAGCGAUCCUUCUUAGCCUCCCUGCGGUCCCCCUACAUGCCCUCCCCAUUCCCUUUAAGCCAUCGCACAUUCAGGGCUGAACAGGGUUAGGGUUAGCACCCGGGUGGCAGCACCACUCUGCGGAUUCCUUGCUCUCUCCUUUCCUUGCUGCCACUUGCCAGAGACACAUCCCCAACCGGGUGCCCACUCAAGCACUGUUCUGGCAAGGAGGGGCUGCAAGGAAGGGGCAGUGGUUCUUUCCACUUUCCUGCUGCUUCUCUUGGGCCGCUCUUGCCAGGCACCUCUAUGGUGCUGGCCUUGGUACCACCUUGAACUGGGUUUCCUGGGUUCAGGCAACACUGCAAGCCAGCACGGCGGCCAGGCACCCAGAACAGGACGCGGUUUGUGGUUUCUAAAAGCAAGCAUGUGACAUGGGAUUUUUACUAGUGGAGGGUGGGGCACAUUAGUAGGCACUGAGAAAGGUAAUUUGGGCACAAGGAUUGUUUGGCUCUCUUCUGCUUAAAUGUACAGGAACUGCUGAAAAAUUGCUAAAAGCAGAUAUCCUGCCUGAAAUGUAGGGUGGGGCAAGACAUCUGUUGGAACUGUGCACAGAUAUGUGUGUGUGUGUGUGUGUGUGUGUGUGUGUGUGUGUGGCUGGGCCCACUUCACACUGGAAUAACAGUACUGACACUUGUUUGAAUGUGGACUGUAUACACAGUUACAUUUGGACUUCCAGUGGAAAGAGAGCAUAGUUGUGUUUGUUAACAUAUGAAAAACUUUAGCCAAGCUAAACAGAAUCAUUCUCGAUGUAUUAGUUUAAGGCUGCACUCAUGUUGAGACAGAAAUGAGUCCUCCAGCUCCUGCAUGCUGUUUGGAGCUUGUUGUGAGUUGUGGGACUUCUUCCUGACUAAACAUGCACAGGAUUGCCCUCUAAAUGGGAACUCUUUUUGAGUUUAAACUCAAUCUCUUAUUUGCUUGGUAAUACAAUCUUUGCAAUUUUAUUCUGAGAAUUAAUUUAGAGGGUUUUGUUGUUGUUUUACGAUUAAUCAUCUUUACAUGUUAAGGGUUUUUUUCAUGGUAAUCUAAUUACAUCUUGUGCUUGCUUGAUGCAUUUGAGAUUAACAUUCAUUUAUAAGAGGUUUAUUUGGCAUAUUAAUCCACGUCUUUCAAUUUGUAAUCAUUGUUCUUGCAAGCAGUGAUCCUACGGUUAUUCUCAUGGGAUUUUGUAACUUGCAUACUUUGAGGACUCGGUAAACUGUUAAUCUUUUCAGCCAGUCUGGUUUGUGACUGAAAAUACACUAAGCCUGCAAUCUUGUAGUCACUUACCUGGGAGUGAGUCACAUUGAGUUCAAUGGGACUUAAUUUUCAGUAGACUGAAAUUGGAUUCCACUCUAAAGCAUUAGAACACUAGAACUGGAAUUUGCCAAAAGGUCAAAAUGCAUCAUGCAAAACGUGGAACUGAGACCAAGAUGUUAGCAGCUGCUUACUCAACAGGCUGACUUGUUGACAGAAGAAAUAUAUGAGACAGCCUCAUACAGAACACUUCACUGCGGUCCAACAGCUGCUCUCUAAGAGUUCAGACAGUGGUCUUUCUCAGUCUUGCCUCCUUUGGACCCCUUUCAACUGGAGCUGCUAUGGGACAACUCUGGGACCCUCAGCACGCAAUGCUGCUGCUUUUGCCACAGAGCGAUGCUGGUCUCUCACUCCCGCACCAUCCCUGGCUAUGGAGGUUUUGCAGUUGAUACAGUGAUAAGCUUGGAGACUGGACAGAAGAGAGUUAAUGGAACAUGAAUCGCUCUAGCAAAGUUGCCUUCCUUUGUCAGGGGAUUUGUGGAUUGCUCUCAGUACUUGCCCUGAAAAGCUUUAGAGGAUCUGAAGUGCGAGCAGCUGAUGGAGACUUUCUGUUGUAGCAUUUAAGCUGCAUGGCUUCAUCUAUACUCAACCUGUAUUUGUAAAUAAGUAGAAAAAUGCAGCAUGCCAAUAGGUCUCCUGUGAUCUCAUUCUAAUGGAAACCAAACCUAGGUAAGUGCUAUCUGCCAGGCACCUCUCGCUGCUUGAAGUGUGGGGGUGGGUAAACAAUGUUUAUAACUCAGCUUUUUGCAAUAGUUCGGGUGGCACCCUCACUCUUGAAAACAUUUUCCUCUCCAGCCAUGGAUCUCUGUCACGCUGAGCAGGGCUGCUGCAGAUGCAGGCACGCUUUGGCCCCUGCCAGGAGCCCCCCUGCCAGCGGGGGCCCAUGGACAAGGGCUUCCUGGGCCUGCCUCUCCACCUCACCACUUGAGUCAGCUUGCUCGCCUUCCUCUUGCCAUGACCCACAUGGGGAGGUGGGGAGGCAGAACGGGAGAUUUAUUUGUUUAUUUAUUUAGAAAAUUUCUAUGCUGCUGCCAGCUGGCUCCCUGGCUCUUGCUCCAUCCAGCAAGCAGGUGGCGGUGGUGGUGAGGAAGAGGCGGAGGAGCAAUGGUGGUUGGGCCUAAUGGCUGUGGGAAGGUGGACUCACGGCGGGGAGCAGGAGAAGCACUGAGGGUGCUUGCCCAAAGGCCCUCCGAGCUGGGAGCCCACACUGAUUGCAAGCCAUCUCCUUUUCCGCAGCAGCCCUCUGUUCCUGUGGGAUUUCGAAGACUAAUCGAGAAAUGGAAGAAAAGAGGCCAGAUUGCAGGAAGGUGGCCCGUUUGUGGGAAGGAUGUGGAGAUGGAGUCGAUGGCAUGGAUAUGGAUACGAUCGUUUUGUACCUCACCUGGACAGUGAAGAAAGCUGAUAAGAAGAAAAUGGAUGUAUUUGAAACAUGGUGCUGGAGGAGAGCUUUGCAAGUACCCUGAACCAACAGAAAGGCAAAUGAGAGCUUCCACAGAUGCAAACAUGACAAAAAUGAGGCUGUCAUCCUUUGGACACGUCAUGAGAAGGCAAGACUCCCUGGAGAAGACAAGCAUGCUAGGGAAACUCAAAGGCCGAAGAUGAAACGGAAGACCAGAUAUGAGAUGGCUUGAAUCCAUACAGGAAGCCUUGAGCUUGGAAAGUUGAAUGGAGCUGCCUUGGACAGGACAUUUCAGAGGGCUUCAUUCAUAGUGUCACUAUAAGUUGGGGACAACUUGAUGGAACAGAACAACAACAGCCCUCGCCUGAGUUUGCACAAGGUCCUUUUUAAAAAAAUCUCGAUACACAGCCUGGUUACAUUUUCCGAAGAGAAGAGUCGUAGCUUAGUUGGCCCUCAUCGGCCAUCCUAUGAGAAUGAAGAGCCAUGCAAAGGAAGAGCUGGACCUUGAAAUGGCCAUCAGCAGCACCUGGGCAGCCGACACAGCAGUGCCUGGCCACGCUCUCCCACACGAUGGCGAGACGUACGAUGUCUCCGUCUUAAUUAUAACACUUAUGACUAUAUUUGCAUCUAUGCAUAUGAAUCAGGGCAUGCAAAUAUUAUGCAAACUGUUAUCCUCUUUCGUUCUCAUUAUUGGUGAUACAUUUCCCCCUUUUUGGCAAUUCAUACCUGGACUUUGCAAUGUUUACCUAACCCAAACCAAGCAAACCUGGGUCACCUUUGGUUGUAGUACACCGAACCUUGUUUACUGCAUGAAUCUUGGGCUAGGAAUGAAAUCCUUCUAGUAACUGUGAUAGACUCUUGGAAACCUAACUUUAAAAAAAAACUCAAUAAACAGCAUUCUCCCCUGCUCCUUUUUGGAUGGAGCAGCAUGACAGACCA
Varanus komodoensis (Komodo dragon) is the source of this 20776-nucleotide long non-coding RNA. RefSeq lists it as uncharacterized. The record is from RefSeq and is a predicted model, not a curated record. Lineage: Eukaryota; Metazoa; Chordata; Lepidosauria; Squamata; Varanidae. The transcript has 2 exons.